UGAGGCGCGCCGAGUUUGAUCCUGGCUCAGAACGAACGCUGGCGGCGUGGAUAAGGCAUGCAAGUCGAACGCGAAAGUCAUCUUCGGAUGGCGAGUAGAGUGGCAAACGGGUGAGUAACACGUGGGCAACCUUCCUCUAGGUGGGGGACAACCCUCGGAAACGAGGGCUAAUACCGCAUAAUAUCGAGAGUUCGCCUGUUCUUUCGAUCAAACGGUGGGGAUCUUCGGACCUGCCGCCAAGAGAUGGGCCCGCGCACGAUUAGCUUGUUGGUGAGGUAACGGCUCACCAAGGCGCCGAUCGUUAGCCGACCUGAGAGGGUGACCGGCCACACUGGGAUUGAGAUACGGCCCAGACUCCUACGGGGGGCAGCAGUCUAGAAGCUUCGACAAUGGAGGAAACUCUGAUCGAGCGACGCCGCGUGCAUGACGAAGGUCUUCGGAUCGUAAACUGCUUUCGCCAGGGGAGAAAGGCGCAUAGGUCAAUAGCCUGAGCGUCCGACGGUACCUGGUAAAGAAGCUCCGGCUAAGUCCGUG
Molecule: ribosomal RNA, 534 nt
Filed under: uncultured bacterium
Lineage: Bacteria
Description: bacterial SSU rRNA
Rfam family: Bacterial small subunit ribosomal RNA
Source: RNAcentral